CUGCGGCAGAGCUGAUUGCGUUUUUGUUUUUCUGGUAAAAGAGAAAUCGCGAUUGACUCAAAUGAACCUAAACUGCAGCUGGACGUACAUAACUGUAAAUCAACACUUUUUGUUAUAAAAGAUACAGAAGAUCGGAAAUUUUUGGAAAGGGGACCACGAUCUACAGAAAACAUGAAUUUUGGACUAAUGACUUUAAAAAACGAAUCUGUGCCUCUGAAGAGUAUUUCAGUGGAGAUUUGGGCCAAGGACUUUAUCGCGGAUGUUGUAUCAUCUCUCGACUAUGAGAACACAGAGUCAAACCCUGUGGAGGCUGAGUUUAUCUUUCCCAUGGAAUUUGGAGCUUCUGUCUACGACUUGUAUGUAGACAUUGGCGACACACAGAUCAAGGCCACAAUCAAAGAGAAG
This is a long non-coding RNA of Erpetoichthys calabaricus (reedfish), 405 nucleotides long. RefSeq lists it as uncharacterized. NCBI's taxonomy places the organism in Eukaryota, Metazoa, Chordata, Cladistia, Polypteriformes, Polypteridae. The record is from RefSeq and is a predicted model, not a curated record. The transcript is spliced from 3 exons.